This 313-nucleotide long non-coding RNA is filed under the name Mytilus galloprovincialis (Mediterranean mussel). The record is from RNAcentral. Lineage: Eukaryota; Metazoa; Mollusca; Bivalvia; Mytilida; Mytilidae.
AGAAAGCUUUGCUCGUCACUUGAUGUUCGUCGUCCGAUUUCGUCUUUUUUGUUUUUUACUUUUACAAAAUUUCUCUGUCUUUAAAACUACUAGGCCAAAUGUUAUUGAACAAAUGUCUUUUAGGGAGUCGCCUGCUAGUUUUGGUUAAACUUUUCAACAAUUAUCAUUGGAGUAUCUAGUUUAAAAUCUAUGUUGGAUAACCCUGACUGUCAACCAAGUUAGCCGACAAGGUUAAAAUAAAAACAUAGAGAUAAAAUGUAAGUGCUGUUAAUUAAAAAACGUAAUGAAUAACGAAAACCUAAUGUGAAAAACA